GGGGGUGUAGCUCAGUGGUAGAGCACAUGCUCAGCAUGCAUGAGGCCCUGGGUUCAAUUUCCAGCACCUCCA
Molecule: transfer RNA, 72 nt
Filed under: Balaenoptera acutorostrata scammoni
Lineage: Eukaryota; Metazoa; Chordata; Mammalia; Artiodactyla; Balaenopteridae
Description: tRNA-Ala (AGC) (tRNA-Ala-AGC-9-1)
Rfam family: tRNA
About the family: Transfer RNA (tRNA) molecules are approximately 80 nucleotides in length. Their secondary structure includes four short double-helical elements and three loops (D, anti-codon, and T loops). Further hydrogen bonds mediate the characteristic L-shaped molecular structure. tRNAs have two regions of fundamental functional importance: the anti-codon, which is responsible for specific mRNA codon recognition, and the 3' end, to which the tRNAs corresponding amino acid is attached (by aminoacyl-tRNA synthetases). tRNAs cope with the degeneracy of the genetic code in two manners: having more than one tRNA (with a specific anti-codon) for a particular amino acid; and 'wobble' base-pairing, i.e. permitting non-standard base-pairing at the 3rd anti-codon position.
Source: RNAcentral